This 403-nucleotide ribosomal RNA is filed under the name Fusobacteriota bacterium. Its description in RNAcentral is "Fusobacteria bacterium partial 16S ribosomal RNA". It matches the Rfam family "Bacterial small subunit ribosomal RNA", at positions 355 to 776 of the family's 1533-position model. Lineage: Bacteria; Fusobacteriati; Fusobacteriota. The record is from RNAcentral.
UGGGGAAUCUUGCACAAUGGGGGAAACCCUGAUGCAGCGACGCCGCGUGAGCGAUGAAGGUUUUCGAAUUGUAAAGCUCUGUCCUAUGGGAAGAUAAUGACGGUACCAUGGGAGGAAGCCCCGGCUAACUACGUGCCAGCAGCCGCGGUACUACGUAGGGGGCGAGCGUUGUCCGGAAUUACUGGGCGUAAAGGGUUCGCAGGCGGCAUGGCAAGUCCGAUGUAAAAGGCGAACGCUCAACCUUCGUAAGCAUCGGAAACUGUCAAGCUUGAGUGAAGGAGAGGCAAGUGGAAUUCCUAGUGUAGCGGUGGAAUGCGUAGAUAUUAGGAGGAAAACCGGUGGCGAAGGCGACUUGCUGGACUUCAAAUGACGCUGAGGAACGAAAGAGUGGGUAGCAAACAGG